AGACAGCCUUGCCCAGCCUGUCCCGUGGAGGCCUUAGGACCCUCAGAGAUACCGAAGAGUCGGAGCAUAAGACUAAAAGAAAGUAAAUCAAUAGAAAUUACAGCGCUGGGCCCCCAAGUGGAGAGGAGCUACACGAGAGUCAAGGGAUCAUCUCUACCUGUGACACAGGGACCCCGGCCACACCAAAUGGAGGUGUAUCAAGAGGCCCGCGGUCAGGAACUCAAAUGAGAGCGUUGGCACACUUCAACACCCAGCCAGAAGAAAAGUACGGCACGUUCACAACCAAGGAGGAAGGAAUAAACAGAUCGGCAGGGUUUUUGACAUGACCCCUUCCAUCCAUGGCUCUAAAACAUCCAUUGUUCAUAAAAUGCAUAAAGGGCCGCAUAUGUACAUCCCAACUCCCCUUUCCAUUCAAUAUAUAUGAAAAUGCAAUUUACUGUAUGUCAAAUGAAAAAUGCAGUUUUCAAAGGCAGUGACAACAGGUGCUAGUUAAAUGAUCAAGCACGAUUUGCUACCGAGUCCCCUACUCUCAUUUGCAGUGAGAUAAAUUGCAUUUUAGGAGAGUGG
This is a non-coding RNA of Peromyscus maniculatus bairdii (prairie deer mouse), 567 nucleotides long. Lineage: Eukaryota; Metazoa; Chordata; Mammalia; Rodentia; Cricetidae. The record is from RefSeq and is a predicted model, not a curated record.